UACGAAGGGUGCAAGCGUUACUCGGAAUUACUGGGCGUAAAGCGUGCGUAGGUGGUUUGUUAAGUCUGUUGUGAAAUCCCUGGGCUCAACCCAGGGCCUGCAUCGGAAACUGUCGGGGCUUGAGUAUGGGAGAGGUGAGUGGAAUUUCCGGUGUGAGCGGUGAAAUGCGUAGAUAUCGGGAAGGAACACCUGUGGCGAAAGCGGCUCACUGGACCAUUACUGACGCUGAGGCACGAAAGCUAGGGGAGCAAACAGG
RNAcentral lists this ribosomal RNA (256 nucleotides) under uncultured bacterium. Its description in RNAcentral is "partial 16S ribosomal RNA". It matches the Rfam family "Bacterial small subunit ribosomal RNA", at positions 524 to 776 of the family's 1533-position model. The record is from RNAcentral.